This 44-nucleotide non-coding RNA is filed under the name unclassified sequences. RNAcentral describes it as "SAM-SAH-Weickhmann-2018 RNA". It matches the Rfam family "SAM/SAH riboswitch aptamer". The record is from RNAcentral.
UGCCACAACGGCUUCCUGACGUGGCACGGAUUAACAACGGAGCA